GUUACACCCCCAACCGACGCCGCCAUGCUCUCGUUCGGGGUGCAGCUCAAUCCAAGCCGCUUCCUCUUUCGGGGCAGGUUUUAACUGGGUUUCGCUUGUGUCACUGUCCCAGUCAAUCGAUGGCUGAGUGCCGAGGCCUGAAUAUUCUAACGCAGUCGAUCGCGGCAACCUCACGUCAAUUUGCCUUCGUCACCACAGUUUGUGUGAAAUUUCACAAAAAGAAAUAUUUACUGCUGCUAAUGAACAUCGCGCGUUUGUCGGCCGUCAACUCAGUUUCUCUUCUCUCUGGUGUGCAGAUGGCGCCCGGAAUGAGAAUUCUAAUCGGGACUACUUUCGCGUCAAAGAGUCUCUCUACUCAUAAAAACCCGAUCACAAUUCCAGAAACGACAUAAUUCGCAAGUCUUAUCGGAAGAGCUUUGUAACUUUAUUGAGUUGUCAUUACGCAUAUUCCUUUAGAUAUUUCAAAUUCGGACAGCUUUCCAAAUUCAUAGGACUCUCGCGGAAGGACCAGACAUUAAAACGUGUACUGCACUCAUCAAUGAAUCACAAUAGGGUAUCACUGCGCAUCAGCAUUGCGGCGGCUGUGGGGAUGGAAGCGCAUGCGCUUAAAAACCAUUCUGUGGAAAAGUCGAGAAUGUUCACACAAGAUCUUGUCAAUCAGCAGUCUUAAAAAAGGUCAACUUUGAUGAUCAGCAUGGAAUCAAAAUUUUACAGUGCAAGAGGUAAACAUUCAAGGUGGUAUACAGUACCUUGACAUCAUGGAUGAUAGUCUUUGGAUUGCUCUCUGCACACUACAGACUGGAAGGUUAGAAGAGAAGAUUAGAAAAAAUACGUGGCUGUAGUGCGAAUGAUGUAGAAGGAUCCACCUGAAGAAGAAGCAGCGCUUUGAAAGCUUGUGAUUUCAAAUAAACCUAUUGGACUAUAA
Long non-coding RNA from Stegostoma tigrinum, 925 nucleotides. RefSeq lists it as uncharacterized. The record is from RefSeq and is a predicted model, not a curated record. The transcript is spliced from 2 exons. Lineage: Eukaryota; Metazoa; Chordata; Chondrichthyes; Orectolobiformes; Stegostomatidae.